UGGGGAAUAUUGGACAAUGGGCGCAAGCCUGAUCCAGCAAUUCCGCGUGGGUGAAGAAGGUCUUCGGAUUAUAAAGCCCUUUCGACGGGGACGAUGAUGACGGUACCCGUAGAAGAAGCCCCGGCUAACUUCGUGCCAGCAGCCGCGGUAAUACGAAGGGGGCUAGCGUUGCUCGGAAUUACUGGGCGUAAAGGGCGCGUAGGCGGCUUAGUUAGUCAGGCGUGAAAUUCCUGGGCUCAACCUGGGAACUGCGCUUGAUACGGCUAGGCUAGAGGAUGGAAGAGGGUCGCGGAAUUCCCAGUGUAGAGGUGAAAUUCGUAGAUAUUGGGAAGAACACCGGUGGCGAAGGCGGCGACCUGGUCCAUUACUGACGCUGAGGCGCGACAGCGUGGGGAGCAAACAG
This 403-nucleotide ribosomal RNA is filed under the name uncultured bacterium. RNAcentral describes it as "bacterial SSU rRNA". It matches the Rfam family "Bacterial small subunit ribosomal RNA", at positions 355 to 775 of the family's 1533-position model. The record is from RNAcentral.